GUCUGUUAGGUUUGGUCAAGUGCUAGGUAGCUAGCUAGUUGUUGCAAUGGAAAGGUGGGAAAAAGUUCUUAAGAAAGCCCAUAAAUGAUUGGCUGUGUGUUUUGUGGGAAGGAGAUCAAUGCAUGAAUAAUAACAGCUUUUUGGAUUAUAUAUUGGUUCUUAGGAACACAACCUAAAAGAGAUCAAACAAUCCCCAAAUUGGAUUCUGAAAACUCUGUGAAUCAAAUACGUAUAACUCGUAGUAGAAUCUCU
Molecule: long non-coding RNA, 252 nt
Filed under: Ricinus communis (castor bean)
Lineage: Eukaryota; Viridiplantae; Streptophyta; Magnoliopsida; Malpighiales; Euphorbiaceae
Description: long non-coding RNA (RCOM_LNC000762)
Source: RNAcentral